AAACAUGUCUUUUUGAAUUAUAUUUAAAGUCUGACCUGCCCACUGAAUAAUUUUAAAUGGCCGCAGUAUUUUGACUGUGCAAAGGUAGCAUAAUCAUUAGUCUUUUAAUUGAAGGCUGGUAUGAACGGUUGGACGAAGUAUAAGCUGUUUCAUAUAAAUUUAUAAUAGAAUUUUAUAUUUUAGUUAAAAAGCUAAAAUUUUAUUAAAAGACGAGAAGACCCUAUAAAUCUUUAUAAUUGAUGUUAACUAAAUUUUUUUGAUUUAUUUUAUUUUUUUAAUAUUAAUUAUUUUGUUGGGGUGAUGUUAAAAUUUAAUGAACUUUUAAUUUUUUAAAAUCAUUAAUUUAUGAGUUAUUGAUCCAUUAAUAAUGAUUAUAAGAUUAAGUUACUUUAGGGAUAACAGCGUAAUUUUUUUUGAGAGUUCAUAUCGACAAAAAAGUUUGCGACCUCGAUGUUGGAUUAAGGUAUAAUUUUGGGUGUAGCCGUUCAAAAAUUAAGUCUGUUCGACUUUUAAAUCCUUACAUGAUC
Molecule: ribosomal RNA, 527 nt
Filed under: Anastrepha serpentina
Lineage: Eukaryota; Metazoa; Arthropoda; Insecta; Diptera; Tephritidae
Also listed under: 1 other name
Description: partial small subunit ribosomal RNA
Rfam family: Bacterial large subunit ribosomal RNA
Source: RNAcentral